Molecule: ribosomal RNA, 253 nt
Filed under: uncultured bacterium
Lineage: Bacteria
Description: partial 16S ribosomal RNA
Rfam family: Bacterial small subunit ribosomal RNA
Source: RNAcentral
UACGUAGGGGGCAAGCGUUGUCCGGAUUUAUUGGGCGUAAAGAGCGUGUAGGCGGCCAUGUAGGUCUGCUGUGAAAACUCGAGGCUUAACCUCGAGAUGUCGGCGGAAACCAUCUGGCUAGAGUCCGGAAGAGGAGAGUGGAAUUCCUGGUGUAGCGGUGAAAUGCGCAGAUAUCAGGAAGAACACCCGUGGCGAAGGCGGCUCACUGGCUCAUUACUGACGCUCAGGCGCGAUAGCGUGGGGAUCAAACAGG